GACGAACGCUGGCGGCGUGCUUAACACAUGCAAGUCGAACGGAAAGGCCCUGCUUUUGUGGGGUGCUCGAGUGGCGAACGGGUGAGUAACACGUGAGUAACCUGCCCUUGACUUUGGGAUAACUUCAGGAAACUGGGGCUAAUACCGGAUAGGAGCUCCUGCUGCAUGGUGGGGGUUGGAAAGUUUCGGCGGUUGGGGAUGGACUCGCGGCUUAUCAGCUUGUUGGUGGGGUAGUGGCUUACCAAGGCUUUGACGGGUAGCCGGCCUGAGAGGGUGACCGGCCACAUUGGGACUAAGAGACGGCCCAGACUCCUACGGGAGGCAGCAGGGGAGAAUAUUGCACAAUGGGCGGAAGCCUGAUGCAGCAACGCCGCGUGCGGGAUGACGGCCUUCGGGUUGUAAACCGCUUUCGCCUGUGACGAAGCGUGAGUGACGGUAAUGGGUAAAGAAGCACCGGCUAACUACGUG
RNAcentral lists this ribosomal RNA (468 nucleotides) under uncultured bacterium. Its description in RNAcentral is "partial 16S ribosomal RNA". It matches the Rfam family "Bacterial small subunit ribosomal RNA", at positions 28 to 507 of the family's 1533-position model. The record is from RNAcentral.